UGGGAAAUCAUUUAAUGUGCGUGGACAGC
RNAcentral lists this non-coding RNA (29 nucleotides) under Homo sapiens (human). The record is from RNAcentral. Lineage: Eukaryota; Metazoa; Chordata; Mammalia; Primates; Hominidae.